CGUGUAGGCGGGAAUAAAAGUCAGAUGUGAAAUCCCAGAGCUCAACUCUGGAACUGCAUCUGAAACUUUAUUUCUUGAGGAUAGACGGAGAAAACGGAAUUCCACGUGUAGCGGUGGAAUGCGUAGAUAUGUGGAAGAACACCCGUGGCGAAAGCGGUUUUCUAGUUUAUACCUGACGCUGAGGCGCGAAAGCUAGGGGAGCGAACAGGAUUAGAUACCCUGGUAGUCC
This 229-nucleotide ribosomal RNA is filed under the name uncultured bacterium. RNAcentral describes it as "partial 16S ribosomal RNA". It matches the Rfam family "Bacterial small subunit ribosomal RNA", at positions 568 to 796 of the family's 1533-position model. The record is from RNAcentral.